Molecule: ribosomal RNA, 253 nt
Filed under: uncultured bacterium
Lineage: Bacteria
Description: partial 16S ribosomal RNA
Rfam family: Bacterial small subunit ribosomal RNA
Source: RNAcentral
UACGGAGGGUGCAAGCGUUAUCCGGAUUCACUGGGUUUAAAGGGUGCGUAGGUGGGUUUGUAAGUCAGUGGUGAAAUCUCCGAGCUUAACUUGGAAACUGCCAUUGAUACUAUAGAUCUUGAAUUUUCUGGAGGUAAGCGGAAUAUGUCAUGUAGCGGUGAAAUGCUUAGAUAUGACAUAGAACACCAAAUGCGAAGGCAGCUUGCUACAGGAAUAUUGACACUGAGGCACGAAAGCGUGGGGAUCAAACAGG